This 432-nucleotide ribosomal RNA is filed under the name uncultured bacterium. RNAcentral's name for it is "partial 16S ribosomal RNA". It matches the Rfam family "Bacterial small subunit ribosomal RNA", at positions 29 to 507 of the family's 1533-position model. The record is from RNAcentral.
AACGAACGCUGGCGGCAUGCCUAACACAUGCAAGUCGAACGAGACCUUCGGGUCUAGUGGCGCACGGGUGCGUAACGCGUGGGAACCUGCCCUUAGGUUCGGAAUAACUCCCCGAAAGGGGUGCUAAUACCGGAUAAUGUCUUCGGACCAAAGAUUUAUCGCCUUUGGAUGGGCCCGCGUUGGAUUAGCUAGUUGGUAGGGUAAAAGCCUACCAAGGCGACGAUCCAUAGCUGGUCUGAGAGGAUAAUCAGCCACACUGGGACUGAGACACGGCCCAGACUCCUACGGAAGGCAGAAGUGGGGAAUAUGGGACAAUGGGCGAAGGCCGGAUCCACAAAUGCCGCGUGAGUGAGGAAGGCCUUAGGGUUGUAAAGCUCUUUACCCGGGAUGAUAAUGACAGUACCGGGAGAAUAAGCUCCGGCUAACUCCGUG